GGGAAGUAUUCGGUGCAAUCAUCUAAUCCGGUGUAAUAAUAUAACUUUUAUCCUACACCGUUGGAUCGAGAAAUGGACGUCCGAGAUUCGUACAUGUCACCAUGAGUUAAAAUUUAACUUCCAGUAAAUUUAAAUUCAUGAGUGAAUCCGCGAGUUAAAUUUUAACUCAUGGUGACGUGGACGAAUCUCGAACGUCCAUUUCUCGAUCCAACGGUGUAGGAUGAGAGUUGUAUUAUUACACCGAAUUAGGUGAUUGCACCAUAUACUUCC
Molecule: unclassified non-coding RNA, 270 nt
Filed under: Oryza sativa (Asian cultivated rice)
Lineage: Eukaryota; Viridiplantae; Streptophyta; Magnoliopsida; Poales; Poaceae
Source: RNAcentral